Molecule: ribosomal RNA, 174 nt
Filed under: Clostridium perfringens
Lineage: Bacteria; Bacillati; Bacillota; Clostridia; Eubacteriales; Clostridiaceae
Description: partial 16S ribosomal RNA
Rfam family: Bacterial small subunit ribosomal RNA
Source: RNAcentral
UUUAAAUUGAGAGUUUGAUCCUGGCUCAGGAUGAACGCUGGCGGCGUGCUUAACACAUGCAAGUCGAGCGAUGAAGUUUCCUUCGGGAAACGGAUUAGCGGCGGACGGGUGAGUAACACGUGGGUAACCUGCCUUAUAGAGUGGAAUAGCCUUCCGAAAGGGAGAUUAAUACCG